Non-coding RNA from Plectropomus leopardus (leopard coralgrouper), 1891 nucleotides. The record is from RefSeq and is a predicted model, not a curated record. Lineage: Eukaryota; Metazoa; Chordata; Actinopteri; Perciformes; Serranidae.
GGGGCUCCGUGGGCUUCUGAUAUUUUACUUUUAAUCUGCAAAGCACUUUGCACUUAAGAUUGAAAAUUGCUAUAUCAAUAAAGAUAGGUAUUAUCAUUAUUAUUAUAAAAUGUACUAACCUCUAGCUCAUCAUCAUCCACUGGACAACUUAGGUCAAAGUCUUCAGGGACCUUUAGGGAAAGACCAGCUGGUCUUUGAUAUAUGGUGACAAUCUCUUCAUCUUUGGGCUGAAACAUUAAGAGUAUUUUGUUAUUUUCAGUUGUUAAAAAAGUUAUGUAGCCUGACGUUAUAUUGUUUGGUCAGUUAGCUAGCAGACGUUAGGACAUUUCUGGGGAAAAAAGAUAUACAUACCGACAAAGAAUCAAAGUCGAUAGAUGGUAAAUGCGGUUUCACCUUCUCCACAAUUGAAUCCCAACACGACGAAUAAUGUAGGUCCAUUACUAGCGCUAAAUUAAAGGUUUUUUCCCUGUAACUUCACCGUGUAUGUGCCGCAGUCCAUUUUGAGGAGCCUUGGUUACCAUUGGCAACGGAAAGCUUCUCUGAGCAGCGCGUGUGCGCAGUGUGAGCCUUCAACAAUGUUGCCUUCAAGGGCUGUCAGAAAUAUCACGAUUUACUAACUCACGCCUCAUUAAAAGAAACAAAAAGAAACUUGUCUUAUUCUGCGUUAAAAUUAGGUCGUUUUACCGUGUUUUAAGAGGCCAUAUGAACUCCCCCUGCUUUUCGUAUUCAUGAUUUCGACAGGGGAAAUUUAUUGGAAGCUCAGAGUUUACGACUUUAUGUACACAACUUCCCACCUGGAAAACACGAGCUGACGAGUUGCGUUUGAAUGCAGCAACACACCUGACCAGGGAUUAGCAUAUAGCCAUCGUUGCUGUUGGUGUUCAUGAAAGAGUUGAAGAGACACAUGUCGAAUUCAGGUUACGUUCAGCAGUCUGCCCCAAAUAUAAUGUAACGUUACAGACAAUGAAUGCAUCUACCACAAGGAGCCAACUGUUUGACCAAGAGGUAAGUUUACAGUCAUUUUUAAACUCAUUUUUUUCUUUAAAACGUUACCAUUUUGCUAAUUCGUUAGAGACAAGUUAGUGGUGUACGGUACAGGUGGGACAAAUUAGCUAUUUCUUGGAAGUGGUAAAGUUUGUGAAGUACAUGGGACUUUUUAAUUUUUUCUUUUUUUUUUAGAGAAAGUGCACACACGCUUUAAAACAUUUAUUGCACUCUUGUGGCAAAUUUCCAACUGUGCAUUUUUAAAGUGACACACAUGAAUCUUUACUACAUAAGGUAUACACACAGCAAGUAACAUUAUAGUGUCUGGGCUGUACAGAUAUCUCUUGCUGCAUGUUAUUUUUACAAAACUGUUGUUUAACCAGCCCAGUCCUAUAAUGAUUAACUAAACUGUGAAUUGUACUUUAUGAGUCUGGCUUCCCCAACACUUAAUUCUGCAGGUAUCUACAAAUGAGACAAUUUCCAAACAAACAUGAGGAAACUAAGAAAUUAAACUCAUCAUCAGAGACAGAGCAGCACUUUGUUGCCUUUGGACUAAUAAACAAAUUAGAUUAAACAACAACAAAAAACACAACAAAACCAACUUACUAACCAAACAAACUAAAAGUAGAAUGUAGUAAAUGCCAUUUCAGUUUUGUGGCUUUUAGUUUUGCAUAAGGUUUAUGGGGCUUCCAAAAGUACACCUGUGUGGUCAUCGUAAAGUACAGGCCUGCUGCCCCAUAGUUUCUUCCUGGUUAUCACCAUUUUUAUUGUCCCCAAAUUGCAAACAUAACAAAGGAUGUGUGACUUUAUUGUUAUGUAAUUUUGAUACUUUCUGUGUUCAAGGGCGUGAAGGGAAGUUCAAGUGAUUUAUGGAACAUAAACAAUAAGCUUCAAAAUAUAUUACUUU